RNAcentral lists this ribosomal RNA (1258 nucleotides) under Cylindrospermopsis raciborskii. Its description in RNAcentral is "bacterial SSU rRNA". It matches the Rfam family "Bacterial small subunit ribosomal RNA", at positions 106 to 1404 of the family's 1533-position model. The record is from RNAcentral. Lineage: Bacteria; Bacillati; Cyanobacteriota; Cyanophyceae; Nostocales; Aphanizomenonaceae.
GUGAGUAACGCGUGAGAAUCUGGCUCCAGGUCGGGGAUAACAGUUGGAAACGACUGCUAAUACCGGAUGUGCCGAGAGGUGAAAGAUUUAUCGCCUGGAGAUGAGCUCGCGUCUGAUUAGCUAGUUGGCGGUGUAAGGGACCACCAAGGCGUCGAUCAGUAGCUGGUCUGAGAGGAUGAUCAGCCACACUGGGACUGAGACACGGCCCAGACUCCUACGGGAGGCAGCAGUGGGGAAUUUUCCGCAAUGGGCGAAAGCCUGACGGAGCAAUACCGCGUGAGGGAGGAAGGCUCUUGGGUCGUAAACCUCUUUUCUCAAGGAAGAAGAAAGUGACGGUACUUGAGGAAUAAGCAUCGGCUAACUCCGUGCCAGCAGCCGCGGUAAUACGGAGGAUGCAAGCGUUAUCCGGAAUGAUUGGGCGUAAAGGGUCUGCAGGUGGAACUGAAAGUCUGCUGUUAAAGAGUUUGGCUUACCCAAAUAAAAGCGGUGAAAACUACAGAACUAGAGUGCGGUAGGGGCAAAAGGAAUUCCUGGUGUAGCGGUGAAAUGCGUAGAUAUCAGGAAGACACCGGUGGCGAAAGCGUUUUGCUAGACCGUACUGACACUGAGGGACGAAAGCUAGGGGAGCGAAUGGAUUAGAUACCCUGUAGUCCUAGCCGUAAACGAUGGAUACUAGCGUGCUUGUAUCGACCCGAGCCGUGCCGAAGCCAACGCGUUAAGUGUUCCGCCUGGGGAGUACGCACGCAAGUGUGAAACUCAAAGGAAUUGACGGGGGCCCGCACAAGCGGUGGAGUAUGUGGUUUAAUUCGAUGCAACGCGAAGAACCUUACCAGGGUUUGACAUCCUGCGAAUCCCUUGGAAACGAGGGAGUGCCUUCGGGAACGCAGUGACAGGUGGUGCAUGGCUGUCGUCAGCUCGUGUCGUGAGAUGUUGGGUUAAGUCCCGCAACGAGCGCAACCCACGUCUUUAGUUGCCAGCAUUAAGUUGGGCACUCUAGAGAGACUGCCGGUGAUAAACCGGAGGAAGGUGUGGAUGACGUCAAGUCAUCAUGCCCCUUACAUCCUGGGCUACACACGUACUACAAUGCUACGGACAAAGGGCAGCAAACUCGCGAGAGCUAGCAAAUCCCAUAAACCGUGGCUCAGUUCAGAUCGUAGGCUGCAACUCGCCUACGUGAAGGAGGAAUCGCUAGUAAUCGCAGGUCAGCAUACUGCGGUGAAUACGUUCCCGGGCCUUGUACACACCGCCCGUCACACCA